This 77-nucleotide transfer RNA is filed under the name Rhodoferax sp. RNAcentral describes it as "tRNA-Arg". It matches the Rfam family "tRNA". From Rfam's summary of the family: Transfer RNA (tRNA) molecules are approximately 80 nucleotides in length. RNAcentral also lists the same sequence under 11 other names. The record is from RNAcentral. Lineage: Bacteria; Pseudomonadati; Pseudomonadota; Betaproteobacteria; Burkholderiales; Comamonadaceae.
GCGGCUGUAGCUCAGUUGGAUAGAGUAUCUGGCUACGAACCAGAGGGUCGUGGGUUCAAUUCCUGCCAGCCGCACCA